AGUCCUGGAGGAGAGAGAGAUUUCUCAACAGCAUGGGGGCCAGAUGAUUUCUGUAUGAACAGAGCAGAAGGUACAGCACAAGGAAAUGCAAUUGUCAGAUGAGUAUAGAAACAAGGAUAAAAUUCAGACAUGAACUAUCCAUUUGUUUAGUGUUUCUUUCAAGAACUCGAGGGGGGGGAAAGGUGGCUUCAUUGCAGGUUUUGUACUUGCGAACUGUUCUGAAACUUGUCAUCCAGAACCGGUGUCAAAACUUUUAUUCUGCGUGCAAGAUUCAUUCAGUAUCCUAUUACAGGGUCUCUGUUUCAAGCAUUAACAACAGCACUGCAAACUUGCGUUCUGAGGGCUCGUGUGACAAGCAGAGAUGGUCAGCUGUAUCUGCAGUGGCAGGUCAAAACACAGGCAAGAGGCUGGAGAACAAUCUCUCACCUAGAAAGUAUGGCUCCCAGAGAGAGACAGUAAAUAAAAUCGGCCCCAAAAGGAUGCAGCAGUGAUUGGCCUUGAGCUACAGGUCCUCUAUUGUUUUACUGGGGUAUGCCCAUUUCACGCCAGGUCUCACUUCAUGAUGUUUUUUAAGCACUGAUACAGCUCUUUGUACCCUGCACAAGGAAGUGUUCUUUGUUUUUAACUCAAAUUUGCUGCCUAGAACCGCAACACCCAGCUUUCCCAUGGGGUUUUCCUCAACUGAAAGUGCACUAAGCUCAAGCUUUCUGUACAGAAAUGAAAUCAGAAGCUCAUUUCUACACGCCCUCACCCUUUUUCAGGUCAGCCCCUGUCUGAAAAGCAAGUCAGGCCAGAGCCCGUGACCUGCUUUUAGGACACGUGCUGAAGUGAUUUAUUUGCACACGCCACCCAGCAGCCCCAACCCCAGCUCCUUUCUUCCUGUUCCCCAACGCCCCCAUCGUGCUGCUCCCGGUCCCUCCAGCAGCAGCCGCCCUUCCCGCCCCGCCCCCUCCCUUCUCCCAUUGGCUCCCCCAGCUCCCGCUGAGCCGCUUGAUUUGCUGUGCUGCCUGUCAAUCAAUGCCCCGGCGUGGACACCGCCUCGGGAGACCUUCAAACACGUCAUCUCGGCAUCCGCGGGCAUUUCCUGUGCAGCCGCUCUAGGCGCUCACCUGGGGUAUCUAUCGCUGCGGCCGCCGCCGCUCUGGGCUGCGGGCGCUGCCUCGGUGACCGCGGGCUGGUGGCGGCGGGGUGGAGGAGGCCGGGCCGGGGGGGCUCCGGCCUCACGGGAGGCUCCGGUCGCACGGGCCUUCGCGGGGAGGCUGGAGACCGAGCCCCCGUGGCAGCCCUGUGGGUUGGGCCCGGACACGGGCAGGGCCGGCGCUGGCAGGUCCCGGGGGCGGGCGGGCGGGCGGGCGGUGAGCCUGCUGGCAUCGGUCCCGGGCCCUGCUUGUGAGAAAAAGAACUUGUGGUUCUCCUUUAACGGCCUGCCCGGGCUGCGCAGUGUCGUGAGAUCCGCCGGUGUGCUUCCUCCCGGUGCCUGCCUACCUGAGCAUGCAAGGAGGCUGCAAGGCUUCCAGCUAGGCCCAAAGCGUAAGAACAGUUUCUUCAGAAUUGCAAUUUUCUCCCAUAGUCAAGACAUUACUCACAGAAAGAAGAAAGUGAGACUCUGACAGUCAACACACAUCUUACAUGCAAACCCAGUAAGCUGAUAGACAGUACAAGAGAAGGGGCAUGCAAAGAAGAGCAGGUACUUGACUGACCAUGAUUAAGAGAGAAAACCUUGCCUGGUUUUGAAAUUUGAAAUGUGAGCAAGAUAUUGCUCACAAGCAAAUUUUCUUCUGUAUUUCAGAUCUAAUUCUUGAAGCAGAAGAAUUUUUUACUUAAGAAGAAGAAGUUAUUCUACUUAAAGGUAUGUUAACAGAGACAACAGUGUUAUUACAGUCCCUGUUAUUUUUUCUUUUAGAGGAUGGAUGGAAAUAUUAAUUCUUUUACAGAAGUAAAAGCUCUCUUUUGGCAUUUUAUAAGCAGAUGAUAUUCUGCUAGUGACUGUCAUUUUAGUAAUAUGUUGGUCUAAAUUCUGAAUUCUGUUAUUUCACAUCUACAGCAACUGAAAGUAUAUUUUUUUUAUAAACAGCAAACUUCACCUCAUAAAAAUUCAUUACAUAAGGGCAUAAACAAGUACUUUUCCUUCCAGUCAUUGGCAGUAAGUGAUUCAUCAGUUUUCCACAGAAAACCAAUUUCAUUGCAGAUGUUCUGUAAUUUCCAGACUCCCUGAAUUGUAGAAUCAUAUCAUUCAAUCCUAGUGCAAGGAAUGCAGG
This is a long non-coding RNA of Anser brachyrhynchus (Pink-footed goose), 2258 nucleotides long. Lineage: Eukaryota; Metazoa; Chordata; Aves; Anseriformes; Anatidae. The record is from Ensembl.